This 4704-nucleotide long non-coding RNA is filed under the name Olea europaea subsp. europaea. The record is from RNAcentral. Lineage: Eukaryota; Viridiplantae; Streptophyta; Magnoliopsida; Lamiales; Oleaceae.
GAGAAAAAAAAGAAAAAAAAAACCCGGCUUUCCAUACCCUGCACUCGCAUUCUUCUCCAGCAUAGACAUGGAGCUGCUCUAAUCUCACGUAUAAAUUCACCCACAAAAGAAAUAAAGCUUAAAAAUGAUGGCAUUAUUCUCAAAUAAAGCCUGUGCCUUGUACAUCGCGCAAAACCGUAUAAUCAAUAAAACAAGGCAUCUUUGUGUUUCCAUAAAAUUUGACCAAAUUUCUGCUGAAAAUGAAGCCACAGUUGAAGAAAUCACUAUGAUUCUGAAGCACAGUAAUUGGAAAUAUUUAUUGGAAUCCUCACAUAUUCCACGAAGAAUUAACAGUGAUGUGAUGCAUUCAGUCCUGCAAAGAACUGAUUUUUCGAUUCAUCCGAAGCGCCUCCUUGAUUUCUUCAACUGGUCAACUAAUCAUCUGGGUACCUUUCAAGAUCUUCAUUCCUUUUCAAUUCUCGCGUUAGUUUUAUGCAGUUCUAAAAUUUAUUUGCCUGCCAUUGAUUUGUUGAGCAAGUUGGUGGAUGCCCGGGUUUCGGUUUUUGAUAUUCGUAGCUCAAUUUUGAAUGUUUAUAAAGAAUGUGAGAGGUUUAGAUCAAGUUCUGUCGUGUUUGAGUUGUUGAUCGAUGUGUACAGGAAAAGGGGAAUGUUGAGUGAGGCUGUUUCUGUGUUUUUAGGUGUUAAAAAUGCUGAUUUUGCAAUCAGUUUGUUGUGUUGUAAUUCUUUACUGAAUGAUUUGUUGAGGUGUAAUAGAAUGGAGUUACUCUGGGAAGUUUACGAAGGAAUGAUGGAGAAGAAAAUGGAUUUUGAUAUAUAUACUUAUACUAGUUUGAUCAGUGCUCAUUUCAGGGUUGGCAAUGUCAGUGAGGCUAAAAGGAUUCUAUUUGAGAUGGGAGAGAAGGGUUGUAGUCCGAAUACAGUUACCUAUAAUGUAGUUAUUAGAGGGUUGUGUGGCAGAGGGGCUGUUGAUGAAGCUUUGGAGUUGAAGAAGACUAUGCUUGAGAUGGGAUUGGGUCCAGAUAGCUACACGUACUCAAUACUUAUUGAUGGGUUUUGCAAAGAGAAGAGGUCCAAGGAGGCGAAAUUGAUUUUGGAAGAGAUGUAUAAAAUUGGUCAAAAUCCCGACCAUGUUGCCUAUACUGCAUUGAUUGAUGGGUUCAUGAAAGAGGGGAAUGUAGAUGAGGCUUUCCGAAUCAAGGAUACAAUGGCUGCAUAUGGAAUUAAGUUAAAUGUGGUGACCUUUAACACUAUCAUAAAAGGGCUUUGCAAAUUUGGUCAGAUGGAGAAAGCAGUAGAUCUCAUGCAUGAGAUGCUCGAAAUGGGAAUGCAUCCUGAAAACAAGACAUUUAAUUAUUUGAUUGAGGGGUAUAGUCGAGAGAGUAAUAUGGACAAAGUUAGUGAACUCUUGGUUGAGAUGAAAGAAAGAAACUUGGCACCUUCUGCAUACACCUUCGGUACUAUAAUCAACGAGUUAAGCCGCUCAGGAGAUCACCAACAGGCUAAUCUUUUGUUGGAGAAAAUGAUCUCAGAGGGUAUCAAACCUAAUUCUGUUAUUUGCACGACCAUCAUAAAAGGUUAUGUGCAGGAUGGUAAAUUUGAAGAGGCAAUAAAAAUUUUGGAGGAUAUGUGGCAAAAUGGAAUUUUGCCUGAUGUUUUCUGCUAUAAUUCAAUAAUAAUUGGCCUUUGCAAAUCGAAAAGGAUGGAAGAAGCUAGAAAUUGUCUUAUUGAAAUGGGGAAGAGGGGAUUAGCUCCGAAUGCCUACACCUUUGGAGCGUUGAUUUCUGGCUAUAGUGAGGCCGGAGAAAUGCAUGUUGCAGAAAGAUAUUUCAUGGAAAUGCUUGAUCGAGGAAUAAAUCUAAACCCUUACAUCUAUACUUCCAUGAUUUAUGGCCACUGCAAACAUGGGAACAUAACGCAGGCCUUCUAUAUAUUUAGAUGCAUACUUGAAAGAAAACUACUUCCAGAUGUGCAGCUUUACAGUACACUUAUAAAUGGCCUCUCAAAGAAUGGAAAAUUGCUAGAAGCAAUGAGAGUUUUCUCUGACUUGUGUGAUAAGGGGAUAGUACCUGAUGUUUAUACUUAUACUUCGCUAAUUUCUGGUUUCUCUAAGCAAUGUAAUAUGCUAGAGGCUUUCAGGCUUCAUGAUGAAAUGUGCCAGAAGGGUAUCAAUCCUAACAUCGUCACUUAUAACGCCUUAAUAGGUGGACUUUUGAAAUCUGGUGAGAUAGAGAGAGCUAAAGAACUGUUUGGUGGACUGUCCAAGAAAGGUUUGACACCUAAUGAGGUGACAUAUGCUACAAUAAUAGAUGGAUACUGCAAGUCUGGAAACAUGGAGAUGGCAUUGCCGAUGUUUCAAGAAAUGGUGAAGGAGGGCACUGCAUCUGUACUUACUUUCAAUACUUUGAUUGAUGGUUUCUGUAAAUUGGGAAGAUUGACUGAAGCAGUUGAGUUGUUAAAAGACAUGAUUGAUAAACAAAUCAUGCCUAAUCAUGUAACCUUCACAAUUCUAAUUGAUAAUUAUUGCAAGAUGGGCAUGAUGAGAGAAGCUGUAGAGCUUUUUCAGGAGAUGCAAAGUAGGAAUCUCGUGCCAACAAAUAUGACUUUUUCAUCCCUUAUACGUGGUUAUGACAAAAUAGAGGACAGGUCCAAGAUGUUUGCCCUUUUUGAUGACUUAGUGGCGAAGGGUAUUGAACUUGAUGAAGUAGCGUACACAUUAAUAGUUGACGCACUCUUCAAAGAAGGAAAUUUGGAGAAAGCCUUCAAGGUUUGGGAUGAACUUUUGGACAAGGGUAUAUUAAAAAGAAAGGUAAAUGAAAUACUGCUAGGGACUUGGUGUGGAAAUGCUGAAAUUUCAGAGAUUUUGGCAUUACUCGAUAAAGUGAGAGAGCAAGGAUAUAAACCAAGCCUUGCUACAUGCAGUACCUUGGUCCAUGGUUUGAAACAGUCAGGAUAUGCAGAAAAACUAGCUAAAGUUCUAGAUAGAAUGGUGAAGUUUGGCUGGGUACCAAAAUCGAUGAGUUUAGACGAGUUGAUAAGUCAAUAUCACAGAGGCGAUUCUGAGAAGAAUAUUGACUUCUCAAACCAAGCAGCUGCAGAAGUUGCUUGUCAGGUGCAAGCCUGACUCGAAAAGAGAACAGGAAUGACAACUUGUUUCUGAUGCUUUAUGAACCAACUGUCGAACCGAGGUGGCCCAGCUCCUCGCUUCAGGAUCUUUUUCCCAGAAUGUGAAAUGCUUUAUCUUGGGUAAGGUUUUUGACUAAAACUAACUCUAUUCUAUGAGGAAACUGUAACAUGAUCUUUUCCCUUUCUUCUUCUUUUUGUUGGUUUCUCCAUUCUUUUUUCUUCCUCUUCUUGCCCUGGGGCAGGAUCGAGGGUUGCUCAACUUUGGCAAGGUUACAAUUGCAGUUUUCUUUCUUGUCCUGGAUCUCCCUUGUAUGUUCUGUUGACUUGGCUGAUAAUUGCACCCUUGAUCUGACUUUCUUGGUGUGUACUCGAAAGUAGAUCCUUAAAUUUUUUUACAGCGCAAUAUCCAGAUAGUCUGCAAAACCCACUAUUUAUGUUCUCCCCAUGAUAUUUAUAUUGCAAUUUUAUCAUCUUAUAUUCUUGCUUUUUGACCGCAGUAUUUGGUUAAUUCCUAGGAUUUUGAUGUUAUGGUGUUUUUCUAAUUGCGUUUAUUACUUCUCCUGGUAUACAUUAUCUGUCACCCUUCAUUGGUUGUUCGAUUUAAUGAUUAUGUUUCUUCCUAUUUGUCAAGGAGCUCAACUUCAGGUUUCCUAGUUCAAUAUCACGAUUACCUCAUGAUUUGUGGCUUUGGAGAAUCAAAACAUGGUAUGUUAUACUUAUAUGAUUUCUCUUCUUAUCCAGAGUGCAAUCUAUUGAAAUGUUCUGUGUUUUUGAGUCACUUCUGAAUCGAGAUCAAAUAUUAGAUUUGGUUAUCUUAAUCUUACCUUGGAACUACAAUCAGAUCUCUAAUAACUAAUUGUAAACUGUCUAGAAUUAUUUUUAAUUGUAGGUUUUAUUUUGUUGCAGGAAGAAUAAUGGUACAUGAUUUAACUGCCAUGAGCUUUUCAAGAACUGGGAGGAGGUGAUUCCCAGUUGGUUUUCUUAUUCACUGUUAAAAUGUGUUGCGGCUGUACAUCAUAGAGGGCCUGUCUCGACUUUCUGUUUGCUUUUUAUGUUUGAAGUUGGCAAAUGGCUUUCGCUUAUUUAUGUUGAUGCUAUGUGAUUAAAUCCUUGGGGUGCAUUCUUUAACAAGAAAACAAGAUACAUGACCCUAUCGUGUAUUUACAUUUCUGCAAUUUUCAUUCUGUAGUUGAUUAGAAAACUAUAAAUCGUCGUUUCUCCCAUUUUUUUGUUCCUGAUAAGAACUGAUUCCAUAUGAUAGGUAAAUUGGUAUUACUAAUAUCAAAAUCUGCUCUUGGAUAGGCAAAACUGCAGCGCACCUUAUGUUUUGGAAUGUAUAUGAUAAUGGAAAACUUUCAGCAAAGGGGUAAAAUGCUUCGAUUUGGGCUAUAUAUCAGUUCUUUUAGCUUUGUAGUUAUUGAGUAAUGCCUAUUUGUACAUAAUGAUUUACAUAAAAAUGAGGCGUCAAAAGAAGAAUGGAGAUUUUUAUUUAUUUAUUUAUUUUAUUUUUAAUGAUCCAAUCAUAUCUCACCACAUCGUAUUUAUGUAAAAACAUCAUGUACAUAUAAUCACCAAUAUUAG